This 1886-nucleotide ribosomal RNA is filed under the name human gut metagenome. Its description in RNAcentral is "bacterial LSU rRNA". It matches the Rfam family "Bacterial large subunit ribosomal RNA", at positions 3 to 1985 of the family's 2925-position model. The record is from RNAcentral.
UCAAGCUACAAAGAGCACAAGGGGAAUGCCUUGGCACCGAGAGCCGAAGAAGGACGUGACUAACUGCGAUAAGCUACGGGGAGCUGUAAGUGAGCGUUAUAUCCGUAGAUUUCCGAAUGGAGCAAUCCGAUUAGAGGAAAGUCUAAUCAUCAUAUACUGAAUACAUAGGUAUAUGAGGGGAACCGCCUGAACUGAAACAUCUAAGUAGGGCGAGGAAGAGAAAUCAACUGAGAUUCCGUAAGUAGUGGCGAGCGAACGCGGAAGAGGCCAAACCUAAUGUAGUAAUAUGUUAGGGGUUCGGACAGUAUAAUGAAUUGUCGAGAUUUAGCCGAAUGUCAUGGGAAGGGCAAUCAAAGAAGGUGAAAAUCCUGUAGGCGAAAAGUUAAGACAUCAGACUGUAUCCAGAGUACCGCCGGACACGUGAAACCCGGUGGGAAUACGGGGGGACCAUCCUCCAAGCCUAAAUACUACUCGGUGACCGAUAGAGAAGAAGUACUGUGAAGGAAAGGUGAAAAGCACCCCGGAAGGGGAGUGAAAGAGAACCUGAAACCUUGUGUUUACAAGCACCGAAAGUUCAUCAACGAACGAUCGGGUACCUUUUGUAGAAUGGUCCGGCGAGUGAAUGUAACUGGCAAGGUUAAGCACUUAAGGUGUGAAGCCGUAGCGAGAGCGAGUCUGAAAAGGGCGCAUGAAGUCAGUUGUAUUCGACCCGAAACCGGGUGACCUACCCAUGUCCAGGCUGAAGUGCAGGUAAAACUUCAUGGAGGGCCGAACCGACUCCCGUUGAAAUGGUAGCGGAUGAGGUGUGGGUAGCGGAGAAAUUCCAAUCGAACCCGGAGAUAGCUGGUUCUCUCCGAAAUAGCUUUAGGGCUAGCCUUGGAAUAGAUUACUGGAGGUAAAGCACUGAAUUGGCUAGGGGCCGAGAGGUUACUGAACCUUAUCAAACUAAGAAUGCCAGAUAAUCGUUUUCCAGGAGUCAGACAGUGGGAGAUAAGUUUCAUUGUCAAAAGGGAAACAGCCCAGACCUACAGCUAAGGUCCCAAAGUAUAGUUAAGUGGAAAAGGAUGUGGAAUUGCAUAGACAACCAGGAUGUUGGCUUAGAAGCAGCCACUCAUUAAAAGAGUGCGUAAUAGCUCACUGGUCGAGUGAUUCUGCGCCGAAAAUUUAACGGGGCUAAACUAUACACCGAAGCUUAGGAUACCGCAAGGUAUGGUAGGAGAGCGUUCUGUACGGAGUGAAGUCGUAGCGAAAGCGGCGGUGGACUGUACAGAAGUGAGAAUGCCGGAAUAAGUAGCGAGAAUUAAGUGAGAAUCUUAAUGGCCGAAAGUCUAAGGUUUUUGGAGGAAGGUUCGUCCGCUCCAAGUAAGUCGGGAGCUAAGGUCAGGCCGAAAGGCGUAGCCGAUGCACAAACGGUUGACAUUCCGUUACCGUCUACAAUUUAAACAAAGGGACACAUACAAAGCGUUUAACCCGGGCGAUGGUUGACCCGGGCGCAAGGGACUGAAAUAAGAGUAGGGAAGUAAAUGUGGCGUAUGGCGAGAAAAGCUUUGUGAAUAGAAGUAGACGCCCGUACCGCAAACCGACACAGGUGGACAGGAAGAGAAUUCUAAGGCCAGCGGGAGAAGGGUAGUUAAGGAACUCGGCAAAUUGACUCCGUAACUUCGGAAUAAGGAGUGCUCGAAAGAGCCGCAGAGAAUAGGCCCAGGCGACUGUUUAGCAAAAACACAGGUCUCUGCCAAAUCGAAAGAUGAAGUAUAGGGGCUGACACCUGCCCGGUGCCGGAAGGUUAAGAGGAGGAGUGCAAGCUCCGAAUUGAAGCCCCGGUAAACGGCGGCCGUAACUAUAACGGUCCUAAGGUAGCGAAAUUCCUUGUCGGGUAAGUUCCG